RNAcentral lists this unclassified non-coding RNA (329 nucleotides) under soil metagenome. Its description in RNAcentral is "partial contains 5.8S ribosomal RNA, internal transcribed spacer 2, and large subunit ribosomal RNA". The stretch from base 1 to 120 matches the Rfam family "5.8S ribosomal RNA", at positions 35 to 154 of the family's 154-position model. The record is from RNAcentral.
GAUGAAGAACGUAGCGAAAUGCGAUAAGUAAUGUGAAUUGCAGAAUUCAGUGAAUCAUCGAAUCUUUGAACGCACCUUGCGCUCCUUGGUAUUCCGAGGAGCAUGCCUGUUCGAGCGUCAUUAUAACCACUCAAGCUUUCGCUUGGUAUUGGGGCUCGCGGUUCCGCGGCCCCUAAAAUCAGUGGCGGUGCCUGUCGGCUCUACGCGUAGUAAUACUCCUCGCGAUUGAGUCCGGUAGGUCUACUUGCCAGCAACCCCCAAUUUUUACAGGUUGACCUCGGAUCAGGUAGGGAUACCCGCUGAACUUAAGCAUAUCAAUAAGCGGAGGA